UGGGGAAUAUUGCACAAUGGGCGCAAGCCUGAUGCAGCAACGCCGCGUGAGGGACGACGGCCUUCGGGUUGUAAACCUCUUUUAGUAGGGAAGAAGCGAAAGUGACGGUACCUGCAGAAAAAGCACCGGCUAACUACGUG
RNAcentral lists this ribosomal RNA (140 nucleotides) under uncultured Microbacteriaceae bacterium. Its description in RNAcentral is "partial 16S ribosomal RNA". It matches the Rfam family "Bacterial small subunit ribosomal RNA", at positions 355 to 507 of the family's 1533-position model. The record is from RNAcentral. Lineage: Bacteria; Bacillati; Actinomycetota; Actinomycetes; Micrococcales; Microbacteriaceae.